UCUCAAGGGGAUAACACUUGGAAACCGGUGCUAAUACCGUAUAACAAUCGAAACCGCACGGUUUCGGUUUGAAAGGCGCUUUUGCGUCACUGAUGGAUGGACCCGCGGUGCAUUAGCUAGUUGGUGAGGUAACGGCUCACCAAGGCAACGAUGCAUAGCCGACCUGAGAGGGUGAUCGGCCACAUUGGGACUGAGACACGGCCCAAACUCCUACGGGAGGCAGCAGUAGGGAAUCUUCGGCAAUGGACGCAAGUCUGACCGAGCAACGCCGCGUGAGUGAAGAAGGUUUUCGGAUCGUAAAACUCUGUUGUUAGAGAAGAACAAGGAUGAGAGUAAAAUGUUCAUCCCUUGACGGUAUCUAACCAGAAAGCCACGGCUAACUACGUGCCAGCAGCCGCGGUAAUACGUAGGUGGAAGCGUUGUCCGGAUUUAUUGGGCGUAAAGCGAGCGCAGGCGGUUUCUUAAGUCUGAUGUGAAAGCCCCCGGCUCAACCGGGGAGGGUCAUUGGAAACUGGGAAACUUGAGUGCAGAACAGGAGAGUGGAAUUCCAUGUGUAGCGGUGAAAUGCGUAGAUAUAUGGAGGAACACCAGUGGCGAAGGCGGCUCUCUGGUCUGUAACUGACGCUGAGGCUCGAAAGCGUGGGGAGCAAACAGGAUUAGAUACCCUGGUAGUCCACGCCGUAGACGAUGAGUGCUAGUGUUGAGGGUUCCGCCCUUCAGUGCUGCAGCUAACGCAUUAAGCACUCCGCUGGGAGUACGACCGCAAGUGAACUCAAGGAUUGACGGGGCCGCACAACGGUGGAGAUGUGUUUAUUCGAGCACGCAAGAACUUACAGUCUGACAUCUUUGACACUCUAGAGAUAGAGCUUCCCUCGGGCAAUGACAGUGUGCAGAUUGUCUCACUCUGUCGGAAUUUGGUAAUCCGCACGAGCCACCUUAUGUAUUGCACAUUACU
Molecule: ribosomal RNA, 955 nt
Filed under: Enterococcus avium
Lineage: Bacteria; Bacillati; Bacillota; Bacilli; Lactobacillales; Enterococcaceae
Description: bacterial SSU rRNA
Rfam family: Bacterial small subunit ribosomal RNA
Source: RNAcentral